GGAUGUGAGGGAGAUCUGACUGUGUCAUCUGUCAUCUUAUUGAUCACCAUGGUUGAUUGGCUGAUCUGGCUGGCCAGGCAGGUGACCCUUCCUCCUCACUGCUCCACGUGCGACCCUCCCAAAGCUGCAUGUGCAGUCAGAGAGGAGACCAUCCUGGAUAGAAGAGGGUCAAGGGUCCAGCAGUAGCUGCGCUCCCCUGCUGGAGCCUCUCAACAAGCUCUGAAGAGUGCCAGGGAAGCAGGAAGUGUAAAGGAACUAACUCAAGACUAAAACCGUGGAGGAAAAAAUAUAAAGUACUUACAAUCCACUUGCAAAUUUUU
RNAcentral lists this small nuclear RNA (320 nucleotides) under Heterocephalus glaber (naked mole-rat). RNAcentral's name for it is "7SK RNA". It matches the Rfam family "7SK RNA". Rfam says of the family: 7SK was discovered as an abundant small nuclear RNA in the mid-70s but a possible function has only recently been suggested. Two independent studies have found that 7SK RNA binds the CDK9/cyclin T complex (known as elongation factor P-TEFb). The record is from Rfam by way of RNAcentral. Lineage: Eukaryota; Metazoa; Chordata; Mammalia; Rodentia; Bathyergidae.